AUUUUGAUCAUGAUAUCUCCCAUACUAAACAGGGCAUCAUCUACAGUCAAGCCACUAGGUACCAUCGCAUAUGCUUUGAUCCUAAUGACCGUAAUUCUCAUCUAAAUGUACUCUCCCAAUCUAUGAGACAGAAAGGCUACAAACCAAAGACUUUUACCAAACAAAUCAACUCUGCUGUAAAAUCUCCACGCACGCGCCUGCUACAGUACAGAGAGAAAAGAAUAUAUCUACACGAGUGCCACUUGUGGUCAUCUACAACCCAG
This is a non-coding RNA of Pelobates cultripes (western spadefoot toad), 263 nucleotides long. The record is from the annotation of a GenBank genome assembly. NCBI's taxonomy places the organism in Eukaryota, Metazoa, Chordata, Amphibia, Anura, Pelobatidae.